GAAACCGUUCAGGGGUAAACCUGAGAAACCCAAAAGAUCGAACGGGGAGAUUCAUCGUCAACAACGCUGGCUCCCGUUUGCGCGCGAUGCUCCGGAUGAAAUCUUCGGAUUUCAUUAGCGAGGGCACACCGCAUUCGGUGAACGUUCCGGCGACGUAGUCGUGCACUUCUCCUCUAGUAGAACGUCGCGACCCGUUGCGUGUCGGUCUACGGUCCGAGGCGGAGCCUGUCCUCUCGUCAUCUUUCGAUGACGCACUGUGACAGACCCUCGGUCGCCUGGCCGACUGCGCGACGGUACUCUAACGGUAUCGGGCCGCAACCAAUCCAUUUUCGAAUGUAUGUGCGUCAGGACCGCCGCAAGCUAGGUCCAGUUUACCCGGAUGCACGGACUAUGUGCCGUCCCCGGGCCUGGCCAGCUGUUAGCAGGUGGAGUCCUUGGACUGGCCAAGCUUCGAAUUACCGGUCGGCGACGCUAUUGCUUUGGGUACUCUCAGGACCCGUCUUGAAACACGGACCAAGGAGUCUAACAUGUGCGCGAGUCAUUGGGAUAUUAAAACCUAAAGGCGAAAUGAAAGUGAAGGUCUUCCUUUGCGUCGACCUAGGGAGGAUGGGCCUUGUUACGAUCAGGCCUCGCACUCCCGGGGCGUCUCGUUCUCAUUGCGAGAAGAGGCGCACCUAGAGCGUACACGUUGGGACCCGAAAGAUGGUGAACUAUGCCUGGUCAGGACGAAGUCAGGGGAAACCCUGAUGGAGGUCCGUAGCGAUUCUGACGUGCAAAUCGAUCGUCGGAACUGGGUAUAGGGGCGAAAGACUAAUCGAACCAUCUAGUAGCUGGUUCCCUCCGAAGUUUCCCUCAGGAUAGCUGGCACUCGUUCGAAUGAAAUUUUACGAGUCUCAUCUGGUAAAGCGAAUGAUUAGAGGCCUUGGGGCCGAAACGACCUCAACCUAUUCUCAAACUUUAAAUGGGUGAGAUCUCUGGCUUGCUUGCAUCAAAUUGAAGCCAAGAGAUCAUAUAUAUAAAUGAUAUAUGAAAUGGAUCAGAGUGCCAAGUGGGCCAAUUUUGGUAAGCAGAACUGGCGCUGUGGGAUGAACCAAACGCAGAGUUAAGGCGCCUAAGUCGACGCUUAUGGGAUACCAUGAAAGGCGUUGGUUGCUUAAGACAGCAGGACGGUGGCCAUGGAAGUCGGAA
This 1188-nucleotide ribosomal RNA is filed under the name Heriades crucifera. RNAcentral describes it as "eukaryotic LSU rRNA". It matches the Rfam family "Eukaryotic large subunit ribosomal RNA", at positions 401 to 1266 of the family's 3401-position model. The record is from RNAcentral. Lineage: Eukaryota; Metazoa; Arthropoda; Insecta; Hymenoptera; Megachilidae.